Molecule: ribosomal RNA, 428 nt
Filed under: uncultured bacterium
Lineage: Bacteria
Description: partial 16S ribosomal RNA
Rfam family: Bacterial small subunit ribosomal RNA
Source: RNAcentral
GUGGGGAAUAUUGGGCAAUGGGCGAAAGCCUGACCCAGCAACGCCGCGUGAGGGAAGAAGGUUUUCGGAUUGUAAACCUCUGUCCUUGGUGACGAAGGAAGUGACGGUAGCCAAGGAGGAAGCCCCGGCUAACUACGUGCCAGCAGCCGCGGUAAUACGUAGGGGGCGAGCGUUGUCCGGAAUGACUGGGCGUAAAGGGCGUGUAGGCGGCCGAUUAAGUCUGGAGUGAAAGUCCUGCUUUCAAGGUGGGAAUUGCUUUGGAGACUGGUUGGCUUGAGUGCGGAAGAGGUAAGUGGAAUUCCCAGUGUAGCGGUGAAAUGCGUAGAGAUUGGGAGGAACACCAGUGGCGAAGGCGACUUACUGGGCCGUAACUGACGCUGAGGCGCGAAAGCGUGGGGAGCGAACAGGAUUAGAAACCCGUGUAGUCC